Molecule: long non-coding RNA, 2875 nt
Organism: Panthera uncia (snow leopard)
Lineage: Eukaryota; Metazoa; Chordata; Mammalia; Carnivora; Felidae
Exons: 2
Source: RefSeq, a predicted model, not a curated record
CGCAAAGCUGCGUGUGGGCAGACGAUCUGUAGGUUCCACCUCCAAGACGCUCCAGGCUGGCAGAGUGCCAAGUACACGGAAGAGCCUCUAUAAUUACUUGUUGACCAUCAGGUCCUGAAGAUAUACAGCUUUCUCCACCACACAAGGUGUUCACCCCUUAAAGUGUUUUGUUAGUGAAAGAAGGCGAUCACACGGAUGCUUCCAAAGAGUACGAUCAUGAAACCGUGUGACAGGGCCACCCUGGCGGCUCAGUCGGUUAAACUUCCGACUUCGGCUCAGGGCAUGAUCUCACGGUUCAUGAGUUCGGGCCCCUGCAUCAGGCUCUGUGCCGACAGCUCAGAGCCUGGAGCUGCUUCGGAUUCUGUGUCUCCCUCUCUCUCUGUCGUUCCCCCACUCAUGCUCUGUCUCUCUGUCUCUCUCAAAAAUAAAUAAACAUUAAAAAAAAAGAAACUCUGUAUGAUAGAGGGUCCUCCAGGAAAACAGGACCAAGAGGAGAUUAGAUAGAUAGAUAGAUAGAUAAUAGAUAGAUAAUAGAUAGAUGGAUAGGUAGAUGAGAUGGAUAGAUACAUAGAUAGAUAGAUACAUAGAUAAUAGACAAAUACAUAGAUGGGUGACAUGUAUGUACUUACGUACACUGAUACAUACGUACUCUCCGGAGGGAGGGCAGGAGGAGAGAGAUUUUGAGGAGUUGGCUCACACAAUUCCAGGACUUGAUGUCAUAAUAACUCUCAACCAGAAGGUGAAAAGAGCAGAGUGAGGCUAAUGCUGUCUGGCUAAAAAGCAGCAGUCACCCACAUGAGCCAGAGGAGAGGGAUGCUCAGUCACGUUUGUGAUUUGUGGUUUUGUGGUUUUGAUGAGGAUGAUUUGGGAGGGGUCUUCAUUCUGCCCUGCUCCACCAUGUCCCCAGAGUGGCCUUCUGUAGUGCUGGUGCUCUGCGACACCGUUUAACCCCACAGGGGCAGGAGCAUGGCCAAGGGUGCCGGGGUCUGGCAGCACCUGGAGGCGGCUUUCCUCUUCUGAAAGAUUCAUAGGUUCUGAUCCAUCAGUUCUUGGGUAAUUAAGGGCUCACUAGUCCCUCAAUAUAGACACAGCCACAAUACUUACAGAAGUUAUUUGGCUCAUGUGUUCUCAAAGGACAGGGAAGCUCCCACAUGUUUUAUCUGUUGAUUCGUCAUAAAUCGCCACAAAUUUAGUGACUUAAAACAACACGCAUUAAUUAUCUCACACUCUAUGCAGGUCAGACAUCCUGGCACAGCCCAGCUGGGUCCUCCGCUUUGGGUCUCACCACACUAUAGUCAAGCAUCAGGUGGGGUCAUGGUCUCAUCAGAGGCCCAAGUGGGGAAAGAUCACCUUCCAAGCCUUCUCAUUUUGUUUGGCCGGGCUUACAGGACGGAAGUCCCUGCCUUGCUGCUGUUUGUCACCUGGGACCACUCUCAGCUCCUAGAGGCUGCACAGUUCCCUGUCACAUGGCCUUUCUGCAGGCGGUCCCACAAAACGGCAGCUCACUUCUUCAAAGGCAGCAAGGGAGAGUCUCUCUUCCUCAAACUCUUACAUCACCUAUAACCUUGGAUAUGACAGCCCGUCACCUCUGCCAUAUUGUCGUCCAAAACAUUUAGAAAUUUCAAAAGGAAUAAACAGAAAAUGCAGAUGACAUGAAUAAAUCCAAAGAAGAAAAUAAAAUCAUUCCUGGCUAUUACUAUUUCUACCAUGAAGAGAUGAUCACUUACAACACUUGAAUGUCGCAGACUGAGGACUCUUCAGAAGUAGUCUGGGACCAAACAGGUUCUUGUAGGGCACAGAGAGGAGGCUCCAUCUUGACUGGUGAGAGAGAAGCUUCUGGAGCUCCUUCUUCCCCUGCUAGUGGAGGCCAUUGGUCAACUGGGCCAGUAGAGCCCCCGGUGACGUGACAUUUUUGAAUUUUUGAUUAUUACACCGUUUGGGAUGGAGAAAGUACUACUGGAAUUCAGUAGGUGGAGCCUAGGGAUACCGAGAAAAAUCCCACGACACGCCGAAUCGUCCCGGCUCACACAUCCAUGGUGCCGAGGCUGAGAGCCUGGUCUCGAUCCUCACGUGAGAAUGUGAAGCUGAAGAGGCUGUGGGGUGGAGGGCAGUAUUCACAAAGGUGUUCCUUUCUCUCUCAGUCAUACCUCAUGGCUCCGCCCAAUGGAAGUGAAGAGUAAAAGUGACCUAGUCGCAAAGCACCUACUGAACCAUAGCAACCUUGGGGAGACAUUCACAUGCAUUAACAGAUGAGGCAACAAUUGUAAGUGCUGCAGAGCAGGAGAAGAUUUAUUGGGCUUCAAGGAAUUAAAGGAAAAUCAUGUUAUCAAGUGACAGAUCAGGACCAACCAAAGACUAGAGACAGAGCCAGCCUCCUCCGCCGCCUUCUGCCCACGGGAGCAGCGGGGCUGGUCAACCUGGAUUUCUACGGCCACAUUCUAGAAUGUCUUGUAGGGAGACAUGUCUUUGGGACACUUGGGGCCUAGCACUUGGAGAGAAGUUUACCUCAGUUCUCCUCCCUGGAGUCUGCGAUCAUUUGAAAGUAACAGGAGAAAGCGGUCAGGCCAAGGGAAAGAUCUCAACAGGGCCAUCAACGGUAAGGACGCUAACCAUUCAUUCAUUGCGAAAUCGCGGGGACGGCUACAUGAUGAAGACCUCAGAGGAUCUGGGCACUGAAAAUACCUGGCCUCUGCCCCCUGGAUGCCCCCAGCAGCCCUUUGCAGUGGUGACGACCCACGUUGUCUCCAGAUGGGACCAACUGUCCACCAGGGGCAGACUCACCCAAAGUUGAGAACCGUGGAUUUAAGUGGUUUUAUUUUGUAGGUGUGUUCGCUUACUUGCUUUGUUGAUCAUUAAACAAAGCUGCCUGAACCUC